RNAcentral lists this unclassified non-coding RNA (2203 nucleotides) under Hevea brasiliensis (rubber tree). Lineage: Eukaryota; Viridiplantae; Streptophyta; Magnoliopsida; Malpighiales; Euphorbiaceae. The record is from RNAcentral.
GAUUGAAAGCACAGUAUACAUUUGGAUAAAAAGCAAGGCAGUACCCGCAGAUAGACAGAUUACCUGAUACUUGUAAUUUACACAGUUGCAUAACAACUCAGCAUCUUCACUCACAAAAGCAACAAAAGGAAAAGAGGAAAUGCCAAUCGCAAUGUUCCAACAUGAACCAAUAAUGAAGGCAAUUGCACAACACAUCACACAAAAAUAGCGAGGAAAAUUUGGUAAGUUUGCUAUUGGUUGUGUUACAAAUAUUUUAUCAGUAGAUAUAUGAUGACAACCAGAAUCACAAUCCCGACAACAGCUAAAAGCAUGCACAAGCAGGAGCAGCCACCCUUUGUACGCUUGUUCAGAAUAGCCAGAUUCUUCUGCACUCGCUGUUACCAAAAAACAAUGUUCAAUGCAAAUUAUAUUAUGAUAUAAGAUUCUGAGGUACAGAGAAACAAAACAAGAACAUAUGUACAGAAAAUAAAACAGGAUAUCCAGACCAUUCUAAUUCAUCAAGUGAUAUGUAUUGCAAUAUAUACUCUUUGUUUUCCAUCAAAGACCUUGCAUAACAUUCCUUCAUAGUUUAAGAUUUUUUUUCCCUUUCUCCUUUACGAGUCUCUUAAAUUAUAAAAUGAACUAAAAACUCAAAUAGAUCCUUGGAUUUCAAAUCCUCCUAUCCAAAUGGACCCUUAAGUUGCAUUUAAAUAGAUAAGGACUCAAAGUCAAUAACCAUGACCAUUAAUCUUAUUUUUUUUCACUUGAGAUUCACACUAACAGCAGCCUAAAAAGAGCGAAUGCACUCCUCAAUAUUCUCCAAAUUUGAAAGUUUAGCAUUCACAAAGAUCAAAAUUAUCCACUGAGGCCUGAAACAAUUCCAAAUAUCUCUAAAAGAACAAUAUAUCCUUUGCUUUUUCCUUGCAUAUUUUUGUGGUGUGUGUGUGUGCACACGCGCGUGUCAGGGCUUCAGAGACUUUUUUUUCUUUCCAAAUUUUUUUACUCAAAUUCCCUUAUUGCCAAUGUAAAUAAAAAAGCAAAUAGUAUUAUACAGUUAUAUAUGUCAAGGCCAGAGCAUUACCCGUAAGCGGGAGUCGGUAACAUCCACAUGUUGGUCCAAGUCAUCCUGCAUAGUUUGAGAGCAUAAAUCAUAAUCUCUAUAAAGCCUAGAAUAAUUCAAUUUAAUAAAGUACGUGUUUUUGGUAGUGAUAUUCAAAUGUGAAAAAAGUUGUAAAUAAAUUAAGAAAAUGAGGAAAAGAAAAAAAUACAAUAAGCCUGGUGUGAAGACCAAGUUCUUCAUUGACUGCCAAGGCAAUAUGUUUUGUACUUGUUACUGUCUCCUCCAACUUCUCAAGGCCCUCAUCUUGCUCUUUCAUAAUUUGCCGUUGAAGACCGAUAAUGCCAUGGUUGUCCAAGCCUUCCGUUCUACGCAUGGCAUCGGCUUGCUUUAUUUCUGGACCAAACAAGCUAUCCCUGUUGGCAAAGUUUGACAUAUCCAAUGCGGAAGCCAUUUGGUUUACUUUUGUUCUCAAAUUUGCAACCAUGUCCUUGCGACGAUUCAUCUCUUUCUCUGAUCUGUGUAUCACAAAAGGCAGCACUUAUAGAUUUCAGAUAAUUACAAUAAAUAAACAUCACUUUUGCCACAUUGAGCAUUGCAUGCAUGGUUAUUUAUUUUGAGCAAUACAAAAACUACAAUUGUGAAUCACAAAACAGCACAGAAAGCAAGAAACAGAAAUUCAUCAACAUUAUGUAAGAAACUUUUCCUUUAUCUAAAGAAUAUUGUAAUGUUCAUGUGGAAACUUCUGACACUGAGAAGAGGAAAACAUAUCAUGCAGCCAAUCCAAGAAGCAAAAUUUGUGCUGCCAACCAUAAUGAAUGAAAUAUGUGUUGUAAUAUUUAUCCUUUAUACCCUAAAACCAUCACAACACAACACUACCACUCAGGUCAUAAAUUUCCCCUACCAGUAACCAAAAUGGUUAUCAAUUUUGAAUAAAAACUAAGAUAAGGAAUCACCAAAACAGCAGAGGAAGCAAGAAACAAAAGUUAAUUAACAUUUCAGGAUAAGUUCAGGGACGCUUGACCAUGUUCAAAAGAUAGAAACAUAACAGACUUAAAAAAAUCACUAUUUCCUACAUAUGCAAAAAAACAGGGCAUGAGUUAACAGCCUGCAGCCCAAUAGCAGCAGGAUUGUAGAUAACUAGACAUACAGUACAAAAAUAAGAUA